GGCUCAGGAUGAACGCUGGCGGCGUGCCUAAUACAUGCAAGUCGAACGAGGUGCUUUUGUAGCAAUACGAGAGUAUCCUAGUGGCGAACGGGUGAGUAACGCGUUGGUGACCUACCCCAAAGUGUGGGAUAACAGUCCGAAAGGAUUGCUAAUACCGCAUGUGGUCUUCGGAUUUAGAAACUGAUGACUAAAGGAGCAAUUCGCUUUGGGAGGGACCUGCGUCCCAUCAGCUAGUUGGUGAGGUAACGGCUCACCAAGGCGACGACGGGUAGGGGACCUGAGAGGGUGGCCCCCCACAAUGGAACUGAAACACGGUCCAUACACCUACGGGUGGCAGCAGUAGGGAAUAUUGCUCAAUGGGCGAAAGCCUGAAGCAGCAACGCCGCGUGUGCGAUGAAGGCCUUCGGGUCGUAAAGCACUUUUCUGAGAGAUGAGAAAGGACAGUAUCUCAGGAAUAAGUCUCGGCUAACUACGUGCCAGCAGCCGCGGUAAAACGUAGGAGGCAAGCGUUAUCCGGAUUCACUGGGCGUAAAGCGCGUGCAGGCGGUUCGGUAAGUUGGGCGUGAAAUCUCCCGGCUCAACUGGGAGAGGUCGUUCAAUACUACCGAACUUGAGAGCAGAAGAGGAAGAUGGAAUUCCCGGUGUAGUGGUGAAAUGCGUAGAUAUCGGGAGGAACACCAGUGGCGAAGGCGAUCUUCUGGUCUGUUUCUGACACUCAGACGCGACAGCUAGGGUAGUAAACGGGAUUAGAGACCCCGGUAAUCCUAGCCGUAAACGAUGUGAACUUGGCGUUGGUGGGUUAAACUCCAUCAGUGCCGUAGCAAACGCGAUAAGUUCACCGCCUGG
RNAcentral lists this ribosomal RNA (846 nucleotides) under uncultured bacterium. RNAcentral's name for it is "bacterial SSU rRNA". It matches the Rfam family "Bacterial small subunit ribosomal RNA", at positions 21 to 876 of the family's 1533-position model. The record is from RNAcentral.